Molecule: unclassified non-coding RNA, 197 nt
Filed under: Puccinia caricis-stipatae
Lineage: Eukaryota; Fungi; Basidiomycota; Pucciniomycetes; Pucciniales; Pucciniaceae
Description: ITS1
Source: RNAcentral
UCUAAACCAAAAAGGAGUGCACUUAAUUGUGGCUCCAAACUUUUAUUUUUAACCCCAACACUUGUUUGUGUGACUUUUGUCAUUGCACUCAGGUAUAAGUAACAGCCUUUUUGUUACAUUACCCCCCCCUCACAAUUUUUUUUAUUAUUAUUAAACACAAGUUAAAUUAAGAAUGUAAACCCCUAUUAUUUUUUAAA